UACAGAGGGUGCAAACGUUGCUCGGAAUUACUGGGCGUAAAGCGCGUGUAGGCGGUUCGUUAAGUCGUCUGUGAAAGCCCAUGGCUCAACCAUGGAAGUGCAGCCGAUACUGGCAAACUUGAGUUCUGGAGAGGGUGGCGGAAUUCCCAGUGUAGAGGUGAAAUUCGUAGAUAUUGGGAGGAACACCGGUGGCGAAGGCGGCCACCUGGACAGAUACUGACGCUGAGACGCGAAAGCGCGGGUAGCAAACAGG
This 253-nucleotide ribosomal RNA is filed under the name uncultured bacterium. RNAcentral's name for it is "partial 16S ribosomal RNA". It matches the Rfam family "Bacterial small subunit ribosomal RNA", at positions 524 to 776 of the family's 1533-position model. The record is from RNAcentral.